RNAcentral lists this long non-coding RNA (338 nucleotides) under Mus musculus (house mouse). Its description in RNAcentral is "predicted gene 5468". Lineage: Eukaryota; Metazoa; Chordata; Mammalia; Rodentia; Muridae. The record is from RNAcentral.
GAAUGGAAAUGUAUGUUGCCUUCUUGGUUGGAUCUCCCCUCAUGAGUGAAGCACAGAUUUGGGAUGAGCUUGCCCUCCACGUCCGGAAUAACGAAACACAACUACAUUUAGGGAGACGAAUGCCAAAGAUAGUAACCUGUUCAUAUACCAGGCUGCAUGCUGGGUCAGUCAUCUGCCUAUGGUGAAACAGAGGGGAGCCAUGGAAUGGAUCGUUACCAACUUGGAUUCUUGGGAUCAAACACAGAUAUUCAAAGGAGACUUCCUGGCUAAACACUUUACAAAAAUAGAUUUACAAAAAACAAGGGAAAAAAAAAACAACAACAACGAAAACACAAGUA